RNAcentral lists this ribosomal RNA (469 nucleotides) under uncultured bacterium. Its description in RNAcentral is "bacterial SSU rRNA". It matches the Rfam family "Bacterial small subunit ribosomal RNA", at positions 28 to 507 of the family's 1533-position model. The record is from RNAcentral.
GAUGAACGCUAGCGGCAGGCCUAACACAUGCAAGUCGAGGGGCAUCGCGGUGCAGCAAUGCACUGGCAGCGACCGGCGUACGGGUGCGUAACGCGUAUGCAACCUGCCCCGCACCGGGGGAUAGCCCGCCGAAAGGCGGAUUAAUACCCCAUGGUCCCGGGGGCCCGCAUGGGCAUCCGGGUAAAGCCUUGGCGGUGCGGGAUGGGCAUGCGUGCCAUUAGCUGGCUGGUGGGGUAACGGCCCACCAGGGCAACGAUGGCUAGGGGGUCUGAGAGGAUGGUCCCCCACACUGGUACUGAGACACGGACCAGACUCCUACGGGAGGCAGCAGUGAGGAAUCUUCCACAAUGGGCGAAAGCCUGAUGGAGCGACGCCGCGUGAGCGAAGAAGGCCUUCGGGUUGUAAAGCUCUGUCUGGAGGGACGAAGGAAGUGACGGUACCUCCGGAGGAAGCCACGGCUAACUACGUG